RNAcentral lists this long non-coding RNA (231 nucleotides) under Mytilus galloprovincialis (Mediterranean mussel). The record is from RNAcentral. Lineage: Eukaryota; Metazoa; Mollusca; Bivalvia; Mytilida; Mytilidae.
UGCUGGAUAUUUUGUUUGAAAAGAUUGUGGUAUGUUUCAGACUUUAUGUGUGGAAUAUUCAAAUAAUGCCAAGAACUCUACAAACAUGUUUAUGCGAUUCACGGAAUGAAAAAUGGAAACUGUACUCCGCUUGUCUUUAUGCAGAAAAUAGACUUUCAAGAAUGAUGUAUGCCUCGUUCACACGUACAUUUAAUUCGAAUCGAAUGCGAAUCGAAUUCGCUAAUCGCGUUC